AACGCACCUUGCGCUCCUUGGUAUUCCGAGGAGCAUGCCUGUUUGAGUGUCAUGGUAUUCUCAAUCCAUUCAAUACUGUCAAAGGUAUUGGAUUGGUAUUGGAUGUGGAGGAUUAUUGCUGGUCUCUUUAUUGAGUAUCAGCUCCUCUGAAAUGCAUUAGUGUGAAUGUUUACCGAGCAUUUUCUCAGUGUGAUAAUUAUCAUUCACUGAUCGACGAGGGCUGUGCUAGGCUUCUAACCGUCGCGUUAGUGACAAUCUUGACAAUCUGACCUCAAAUCAGGUAGGACUACCCGCUGAACUUAA
RNAcentral lists this ribosomal RNA (303 nucleotides) under uncultured fungus. RNAcentral's name for it is "eukaryotic LSU rRNA". The stretch from base 1 to 52 matches the Rfam family "5.8S ribosomal RNA", at positions 103 to 154 of the family's 154-position model. Lineage: Eukaryota; Fungi. The record is from RNAcentral.